This 419-nucleotide long non-coding RNA is filed under the name Homo sapiens (human). RNAcentral describes it as "non-protein coding lnc-DEK-2:1". Lineage: Eukaryota; Metazoa; Chordata; Mammalia; Primates; Hominidae. The record is from RNAcentral.
AUUGGCUUACUCACACGUCUCUCAUACAAAACUGGAGGGCAGAAAAUGUGUGUCUUUUCUAAGAUUAUGCUUCAUAUAGAAAGUAUUCAAUAAAUAUAACUAUAAAUAAGCAUAUAAUAUUUUGUAAAUACAAACUAUGAUUUAUAAUCAUCUUUCACUCAAUAAAUAAUACAUUCAAGACAGCAUGCAGGCAAUAAAAGUGUUUGGGUCUACUUUAGAACAUCCCUCAAAAAGGUAACUCAGCUGGUCUUGGUCACUUAUAAUCCUAGCACUUUGAGAGCCUGAGGUGGGAGAAUUGCUUGAGGGCAGGAGUUCAAUACCAGCCUGGGCAACAUAAUGAGACCUCCAUAUCUACAAAACAUAAAAGGUUAGCCAGGCAUGAUUGUGAGCAACUGUGACCCCGGCUACUAAAGAGGCUG